AUGGAAGGGCGCCGAGAAGCUGAAAAUCGCUUUAACAUGCUCCAGGGGCAUGUACAACAAAUGGAGGAACAAAUGAACCGAAUGGAAUUGAUGUUAGCUUCACAAGGAAGGCAUAAUCUGGAAACUCCUAGCUCGCAGCACGGUUCCAAUUCUCGACAAAACUCCAGAGUUGAAGCUGAGGAAGAUAACGAUGCUGAAGAAGAUGUUGACCAGGAUGAUGAAGAGCCAUUUGUUCAUAGAAGAGUUGUUGCAAAGCCCCCUGCAAGAAGCUCAUCAGCCCAUGAAGAUGAAAGCCUUGCAACGAUUAUCUCAGUUGACCCAGACACUAUUGUGGGCGGAGAGCCCCUUGGACCAGCAACUUAUGAGGUUCUUGUCAAUGUUGCUAUCAGAAGGGAUGCCAAUGUGCCUUAUGAAGAUGAUGGUUUACAAAUUAUCGAUGAUGCUGUCACAAGGACCAUUGCAUGGCCAUCUAGCAAGAUGAAACCCUACAAACCAGGGGCAUCUUCCUCAUCCCGCCGCUAA
RNAcentral lists this ribosomal RNA (522 nucleotides) under Triticum aestivum (bread wheat). RNAcentral describes it as "partial small subunit ribosomal RNA". Lineage: Eukaryota; Viridiplantae; Streptophyta; Magnoliopsida; Poales; Poaceae. The record is from RNAcentral.